Molecule: RNA transcript, 7068 nt
Organism: Zea mays
Lineage: Eukaryota; Viridiplantae; Streptophyta; Magnoliopsida; Poales; Poaceae
Exons: 2
Source: RefSeq, a predicted model, not a curated record
GUUUGGGAGACAAAAUAAAAAAAAUGAAAAUACACUUUGCCGAGUGUCUGGAGAUGACACUCGGCAAAGAGGGCUUUGCCGAGUGUCUAUUACGUGGCACUCGGCAAAGAAGCAUCUUUGCCGAGUGCCAGCCGUUGGCUCUCGGCAAAGACUGACGGCCGUCAGCUCUGGGACGGCCGCUGACGGCCCUUUGCCGAGAGCCCCGUUUGCCGAGUGUGUGACACUCGGCAAACUUGUCUUUGCCGAGUGCCUACCUGUGCCGAGUGUUCAGCACUCGGUAAAGGGGCUCUUUUCCGAGAGCCUAACUUUACCGAGGGCGGCACUCGGCAAAGCCUUCUUUGCCGAGUGCCCGACAAAAGGCACUCGGCAAAGAAUACAACACUCGGCAAAGCCUCGGAUUCCGGUAGUGCAUAUUACAACCAUUUGUGUGUAAAUUGCUUAUUUGAGACCCUAAACGAAUUCAAAUAAAAAAGUUGUCAACUACAAAGAUAAAUAACUUUUGAAGUUCUACAACUUUUAUUUUGACACUUUUUUCAUCAUCCGAGGUAGUUUGCAAAAUUUGAAUUUUAAAUUUGACAUACUUAUAUUCAAUUUUUGAGAACCGAAAUGAGUUCAAAUAAAAAAGUUGUCAACUACAAAGUUUCAUAACUUUUAGAGAUCUACAACUUUUAUUUUGGUGGUUUUGUCAUACGAGGCCGUUUGAAAAAUUCGAAAAAUUAAGGAUAAAAAUGAUUUCUAGUGGCGGUUCCUUAAGAAAACCGCCACUAGAAAUCGUAUUUCUAGUGGCGGUUUCUUAAGAAAAUCGUCACUACAAAUCAUGGAUUUCUACUGGCGGUUUUCUUAAGGAACCGCCAGUAGAAAUACGAUUUCUAGUGGCGGUUUUCUUAAGGAACCGCCACUAGAAAUAACACAGUCGGUGGAUAACCGAAUCCGCUUGUAAAAAUAUAUCGUCCCCGCAGGCUUUGAUCCUUUUUCUACUAGUGCGUCAAGCCGGAACUGUUCAUCACCAGGAGUCAGGCUCAGGGUUUCUAAGAUCCUCUUCAUUCGGCAUUGCCGUGGUUUCGCUCUUCUCGACAAGCAUAUCGAUCACCUAUUCCCUCCUGCCCACAGCCUACUACUUCCUGCCUCGAUCUUGCAUUGAUCCCAUCACUCCUUUUUGGCGGCUUCCACUUCCUCUAUUAUCGCGAGGACGACACUGGUUUUAAUUUGCAGGUAAUUAACGGGGAGAUCAGUGAUCCAGAGCAGAGCAAAGUUCGGAAGAAGGAACUGAAGUGUGCAGCCCAACUCACCUUGUCGCUGGUCUCUACGUCGUUCUCGGGGUUCGGCGGCGUUCUGCUUGCUAUCUACCACAAGGCAGAUAGCCUCGGCGCAGCACUUCCGCACGUCAAAGUCACGGUGUGCCUCUUGGCUCAUGCUCGGAGGAAGCGUCACCGGAAUGUUUGCAUUGCUUCUGUGCAGGCUGUUGUCCAGCAAUGACAAGAAGCUGGGAACGACAUGGCAGAGAGGCCAGAGGGCAGUACUCGCUGCAGCAAACAUCGUCAUGGCUGCCGUGCAUUGUGUCGGCUGCCCUCGUGCUCGCUGAAACUAUCUUGCACGGCCUCCUCGUACGUCGUCGGCGCCAUGUUCCCGGUCAUCGCGCCGGCGUUGCCGCGUGGGUGCUAGCUCGUCGAAUUCUGCUCCGUGCCUGACGCUCGCGGCGGGCGCACGGAGGAGGAAGGCAAGGUCACGCUUGGCACAAUGUACGCCAUAGCAGAUUAGCAGACCCCCUUCGAGCGUUCAUGCGAGUGUCCCAAGGCAGGCAUGAACGACCGAAGCUAUCGAGUGUGGGCUGUGCCGGGGGUUGGACACUGACAUCUGGUAUCAGAGCCCGGUUGGCCCAUGCCUGCCUUGGGGGGCUUCCCAAGGAGAUGGGAUGUCAGGGGCCGGUAGUCAGUGCCUCGGUUUUAGUCUCACAUCAGCUAGCCAAAGGGGUUGUGGACAGCUUAAAAAGAAGAGUCCCCUCCUCUCAUCAGCCUGGCUUUUGAGAUGUGAGUGAUGAGCUUUCUGGCUGGGCCAGCCCACGAGCGCAUGAACGCUCGAAGCUGUUGAGUGUGGGCUGGGCCGAGGAUUGGACGCUGACACUCUCUUCUAUCAGAUCGUGGCAUGAGCUGGAGCAACAAGAAUGGAGUACUCUGUACCAUUUCGUUAUUUAGACCUCCUUUGGCAGAGCUCAGAUUAAUCUGAAAAUAGUUUCAGCUCAAGCUCCUUUGGCUUCCAUAAAGUAGCUGGAGCCAUUUUACAAUUUAUUUGAUAAAUCAACUGCUUCAGUAUUUUUUUUCAAAUGAUGUAUAAUCUACCUUUUUAGUGCUCCCGCACCUAACAAUAAAAUGGCUCGGGCUAACUAUAAGCUCAUGUUCACGAUGGCUGAGAUGAAGGAAAAAAGAACAAUGCUAAAUGGGCCCUUACAUUGGUUACUUGAUCUGGUCACGCACGCACGCAUGGAUGGUGACGUCGCAUGAUAUCGAGACGUGUAAAUUUAGUGUAAAUUAAAUGCUACCCUCGAACGAAUGUAAAUUAAAAGCUACUUCCUUCGUACCGGAGAAAUUUAAUUACUAUCUUGAUCGGGUUAAUAGAAAAGGUAUAAAUAUUUAUACAACACAGAACAAACAAUUACUAUUGGGUGUAAAUUAAUAAACCUAACAGCACUGUUGGGGACUUGCUCUCAAAUGCUAUGAAUUAAGAACAAGGCAACAUAAAAUAUCAAAUAUUAAUGCCCUUCGUCCGCUGAAGCAUUAUUUCCUCAAGGAUUUAAUGAAUUUCGGACGAAGACCAUGAGCAGAAUAUUACGAAGGUUAUACAUUCGUAAUCAAAAUUACAAAGAUAAUACAAAGUAAUAUACAAUGUGAAACAUUAAAGAUGAAUAUAUCAGAAAUAAUUGACAUUAUUCACAUAUCUUAUCAUACAAAUUUAAGAUGCUUGAACAUAAUGUUUUAUGAACAUUUAUACCUCUGCCUUGACAGAUAAUAAUUCCCGAGUGAAGCGUUUGCAAUUACAAGAAUGCGUGAACAGUAAAGGAAUACUGUUCACUAUUUAUAGGCACAGGACACGGCCCGUGAGGAAUUACAAUCAUACCCCUCGUAAAAAUUUACAACAAUGACUCGGACUCUUAUGGACUAAAAAGUCAUUCUAUGUUUAAGUCGGUUUGUAAUUCCGAAGCUUCACAAAGUGGCACCUUCGGCAUCGUGUACAAGCAGCUUCAGCCGAAGCUGUUUCUUUCUAUAGGACCUUCGGCGACGAAGCAUGGUCCCAACAGUAGCCCUUUCGUGGUGCUAGAUCGUUUUUCGUAACGAGCUUGAUCCGUGAAAAAAGUCUCUUAGGCUUCAGGAAGCCGAAGGUCCGAAAACACCUUCCCUGAGCUCGUUGUCGAGAAACGAUACAGCUUUCAAGCGUGCAGCGGUCCCACCAUGCAGAUUCACUGUUCUGGUUCUUGCGGCCCACUGUUCAGCGGGUGCGAGCAACUGUUUGCCUGGUGUAAAAAUCCUGACGAUUCACCUUCUUACCUGUAACACUAUAUAAACAGACGGGUAGGUGUGAAGUUACCACAACAUUCAUUGCUAUUGUACUGUUUUGCUGCCAAAAUUUUCGACCAUAGCCGAAGCUUAACUUUCGCAUUCAAACGAAGCUCCAAUUUAGAAUUUGCUUCGUCAGAAGAAUAGCUUCGGAAGAGAAGACUAUUAUUUUUCAAGAAAAUUUUCAAGAAAUUCAAAAUUAAAUGGCCAGAGUGCGCUCUACUGCUAGAGUUGAACGUGAGGGAGACGAAGCCGAAGGUGUGGAGACAGUUCCUAUCUCGGAAGCAAUGCAGCGAUCUGGAUUGGUGACGUCGGGAGAAGCUCCCGCUGCUGAAGCAGAACAAGAGAUAUUGAGGAGGCUGAUUCUGAUGAUGAUUACAAUAUCUCAGUACCGAGCAAGCCUAGCCAUCUGGACUUUGGGAAGUCGACUAUCUCCAAGGCUGAUCUUUCCAAGAUGGUGAAAUCGGGCUACUUCAGUGAAGAUGAGAAAAAGCUGAUUCGCUUCGGUGGAGAGGAAACUACCCCGAAGCCAGAGAAGGAUGAAAUAGUGAUUUUUAAGAGUUUUCUUAAAGCUGGCUUGAGAUUUCCUUUGAAUAGGAUGAUUGCUGAUGUGCUUCAAAAGUUUGGGAUUUAUUUUCACCAACUGACUCCUAACGCCAUUGUUAGGCUCAGUGUUUAUAUUUGGGCUCUCCGAAGCCAAGCAGUGGAGCCAUUUGCCGAAGGUUUCUGCCGAGUACAUGAGCUACACUAUCAAACAAAGGACAGAAAGGAUGGGCUACAUGAAAAUUUUGGUUGUUACAACUUUGCAUAUCGAAAAACCACAAAAUUUCCUAUCAUCAGCUAUCAAAGCAAGUGGCUGGCAGGCUGGAAAUCGGAAUGGUUCUACGUCAAGGUUGAUGACGACAAGGAGAAGCUUGUGCAGAGUCCGCUUGAACUAAUCUUCGGAGAAACCCGACCUCAGUGCAAUAUGACACCAGAAGGUCCAACCCAAAAAGCGUUGGCUGAAUUCAGAAAUAUUGCAGAGCACAUUGGCACUAGGGAUUUAGUGCAGGAAUUUCUUGCCUUCAGAGUAUUUCCAACUAUGAAGGAGUGGACUAUGCCGAAGCCUACAGGGGAGAAGAAAGAAGGGGAGCUUGUCCAUCUACCCUACCAUUAUAAGUUCAAGAAAUAUUUUAAGGCUCCUUGCCAAGAAUGGCUCGAUACAAUCGAAAUAAUGAGUACUGAAAUUCUUGGAAAUUACUCUAAAAAGGAGGACCAAUUGAUGACAGCAGCCUUCGGCACCCGGCCGAAACGAAGGCUAAACAGAGUACUUGAUGCUAUAGGCUUCGAAUAUUCUGACUAUGGGCGAUUGGACGGAGAUGCUGACGGCCCGAAGAGAAAAAGAAUUGCUAGCGCUGUUGACGAAGAGAGCACCAAAGUGGCUAAAAAGAAAAAGGAGAUUUCUGAAAAACUGAGUCCCGAAAAGCUGAGCCCUGAGCCGAAGGUGGCUGCUGCAAGAAAGAGAAAAACUGCAUCUCCAGAACCAAAAACGUUGGUUCGGGAAGAAGAUACUCCUACAACACCUUCUACUGCCGAUGUAGAAGAGAUUAUGAAGGUAAUGACUGAACCCUUGCCUGUCAAGCUAAGUCCGCUGGCGCCGGAACUGACGAAGUUUUUUCAGAAGGACAAAGCAGCUUCGGCAGAAGAAGGUCCUACACUGCGGAAAAAACGAAGAAUUAUUCAGAUAGCAGAUGUGAUUCAUCAGACGCCGCCACCGACGACAGUGUCGAAAGUUGCUUUUGUCGAGACCGCCGAAGCAAAAGGCGCCGCAGCCGAAGCUACCAGGGUGGAAACCCCCGAAGCUGAAACCGGCGCAGCCGAAGCUACUGGGGCCGAAACCGGGGCCACAGAAGAUCUGAACCUGGAAGACACACUUGAAGUUAUUGAUAAUAUACUUCUGAAAAUGGCUGAGGAAGAAGCUGUUGUGGUUACAGUGAGCACAGCUACUGAAAAGGGGAAAAACAAGUUGAAGAGACUUUGGAAGAAAAAGAUUUUAACUUUCAAGAUUUACUUGGGCAAGAAUUGACAGAUGCUGAAAAAGAAGAGCUUAAAAAAUAUGCCAUAUCCUGCGGAUAUAAGCCAGGAGCUACACUGUUUGGUGGGGUUAACGAAGGAAAGCUGAGAUGCCUUCGAAACCGCAGCGAAGCUAAAAUUGUUAGGACCCUCUCCAAAAAUAUUGGCCUGCCGAAGCUGGAAGCGGACCUCUGCCGCUACCAACGACACCAUAUCGCUGGAAGCUUACUUUAUGCUAAUUUUAAGGUAACAAAUAUUAAUGCUAUUUUAUUAUUAUUAUUAUUAUUAUUAUUUAGGUCGUUUUUUAACAAAUAUUGUUUUGACAGAGCAUAUUGUUAAGUAAGGUUCUAAAAAUGCAACAAGAUCUCGAAGACGAGAAAAACAAAGCCAGCAUCCAAGAUUUGGCUGAAAAAGUUGAAAAUUACGAAGCUGAUCUGAAAAAGAAGGACUUCACCAUCCAAGACCUUGAAAUCAUGGUUAAGGAACACGAAGGUGCAUUAGAAAAGAAAGACUUUGUUAUCCAGUCUAUAGAAGGCUCCUUGACUGAAGUCCAAGCAGAGAACGACAACUUAAAGAAUGAAUUGCUGAAACAAUCAGAAAAAUUUGAGCAAGAAAAGAAACACCUUGAAGCAAGCCUAAAAACUGAGAUGGAUAAAAAUUCAAAUUUGCAGAAAUCCUUGAAGGAACUUCAAGAGAAAUGCCUAAGCUUCGGCAGCCGAUGUGUGCAGCGGCUGAAGGAUGUGUUUUAUUCUGUCGGAGCCAGCUCUGCAAAAUUUAUACCUUCAGCUGAAAAUCUGCCCAGCACAUUAGAAUAUAUUGAAGGCGAGGUUGAUGCCCUUGACGAAGUUAUUGGUGGGCAUGCCGACUUCUGCGCCCUGGUAGCUUCUCGGGGCACAGCUACCGCUUUUCUGAAGGCUGGUUGUACGCAUGGAAAUAUUGUGAAUAGACCAAACUUUAGCUUAUCAGCAUCAGAUCUGAUAGAUAUCCCAAGCCUGGCCCGAAGCAUUGGGAAUAGAUUCAUGACCCAGAUCUAGGUAAGUGGCGAGCAAAAAAUGGCAGGUGACGAAGCUCGUAGUCAUCUUAAACCGGAUGACGAAGCUGAAGAAUGACGAAGCUGAAGUUUGAAGAAGCCUAGCCUGAAGCUUGAUAGUUGCUUACAAUGUAUUUUCCUGCAAAAAUUCUAGAGAAACUUUUGUAAUAUAGUUAUGGAACAACUCAUGUAAAUUUGUACAUACCUUGUAAUAUAUUUUGUUUCUGCUAUCUGUGUACAAUCUGCUUUGCUGUGGACGAAACUUCUCUUUUGAGCCGAAGGCGAAAAACACCUUCCCUUCUUUUCGUACACAACGAAGCAUAAAAAAAAUUUCCUUCAAAGUUUUUCCUCAUUGCUGAAGUACCUGUCUUGUUUGUGUGGUAUGAUGAUGAUUCUAUAUAUGUCUAAAUGAAUGUUUAUGAAUGCAAAUGACAUGAU